UACGUAGGGUGCAAGCGUUAAUCGGAAUUACUGGGCGUAAAGCGUGCGCAGGCGGUUUUGUAAGUCUGUUGUGAAAUCCCCGGGCUCAACCUGGGAAUUGCGAUGGAGACUGCAAGGCUAGAAUCUGGCAGAGGGGGGUAGAAUUCCACGUGUAGCAGUGAAAUGCGUAGAGAUGUGGAGGAACACCGAUGGCGAAGGCAGCCCCCUGGGUCAAGAUUGACGCUCAUGCACGAAAGCGUGGGGAGCAAACAGG
Molecule: ribosomal RNA, 253 nt
Filed under: uncultured bacterium
Lineage: Bacteria
Description: partial 16S ribosomal RNA
Rfam family: Bacterial small subunit ribosomal RNA
Source: RNAcentral